AGCCGUCGCCUGAGCCGUGGCGCGCGGGUGGCCGAAAGGCGAAAGUGAGAUUUCAAGGGCCGGGUCUGGGGCCCCGCGGGCGCGCAGUGCUGCGGCGUGUGGGGAGUACGGGGAGGCUGGAGAGGAGCCGGCCCCGGGCAGUGUGAGGUGCGGAAGCGCGGUCCAGACACUUUGCUGACGGGAGGCCGGUCCGCCAGAUCCGGGAGAUAAGAAACAGAGGCAAAUGCAGGUUAAGGAACCUCACAGUAAGGGAUAAAACUCAUAUUUUAACCUGAUCUGCCUGAUUCUGGAGCCUGCACCAUCAUUCCAUUGUCGUGCUUGCCACAUGGAGAAUGAUAAGGGGAGAGAGUAAGAAAGCAAUGAGAUACACAUGUCUUGACUGCUUCUCUUCAUGCUGAAAUCCUGGGGGAAAGAAGUGCUAAAUCAGUUGAGGACAUGGGAACAUUUAUUCUGGAAGAAAUUUGGGUACAGAGACAGACAAGCACCAAGAGAAGAUGAUGUGAAGAAGCACAGCGAGAACACCAUGUGAAAAUGGAGGACUGGAAUGAAGCAUCUACAAGCCAGGAAAUGUCUGAGGCUACCAGAAGCCAGGAGAGAGGCCUGGAACAGAUCCUGCACUAGAACCUUCAAAGAGAGCAUGGUCCUGCUGACAUGUUGAUUUUGGACUUCUGGCCUCCAGAGCUGUGAGAAUAAAUUUCAGUUGUUUUAAGCCAUCCAGUUUUUGGUACCUUAUUAUGGCAGCCCUAGCAAACUAAUAUAGACUCCGAUAAGAAUUCAACUGAUAUAUGCCAUGAAAUUUAGUAUAUCAUCAGGACUGGGAGAAACUGGUAACUUUAUAGGUGAAUAUGAAAGAUGAUAGGGAUAACUG
RNAcentral lists this long non-coding RNA (868 nucleotides) under Homo sapiens (human). RNAcentral describes it as "HSALNT0073574". The record is from RNAcentral. Lineage: Eukaryota; Metazoa; Chordata; Mammalia; Primates; Hominidae.